GACGAACGCUGGCGGCGUGCCUAAUACAUGCAAGUUGAGCGCUGAAGGUUGGUACUUGUACCGACUGGAUGAGCAGCGAACGGGUGAGUAACGCGUGGGGAAUCUGCCUUUGAGCGGGGGACAACAUUUGGAAACGAAUGCUAAUACCGCAUAAAAACUUUAAACACAAGUUUUAAGUUUGAAAGAUGCAAUUGCAUCACUCAAAGAUGAUCCCGCGUUGUAUUAGCUAGUUGGUGAGGUAAAGGCUCACCAAGGCGAUGAUACAUAGCCGACCUGAGAGGGUGAUCGGCCACAUUGGGACUGAGACACGGCCCAAACUCCUACGGGAGGCAGCAGUAGGGAAUCUUCGGCAAUGGACGAAAGUCUGACCGAGCAGCGCCGCGUGAGUGAAGAAGGUUUUCGGAUCGUAAAACUCUGUUGGUAGAGAAGAACGUUGGUGAGAGCGGAAAGCUCAUCAAGUGACGGUAACUACCCAGAAAGGGACGGCUAACUACGUG
RNAcentral lists this ribosomal RNA (497 nucleotides) under uncultured bacterium. RNAcentral's name for it is "partial 16S ribosomal RNA". It matches the Rfam family "Bacterial small subunit ribosomal RNA", at positions 28 to 507 of the family's 1533-position model. The record is from RNAcentral.